GAUGAAGAAGUAGUGAAAUGCGAUAAGUAAUGUGAAUUGCAGAAUUCAGUGAAUCAUCGAAUCUUUGAACGCACAUUGCGCCCCCUGGUAUUCCGGGGGGCAUGCCUGUCCGAGCGUCAUUACAACCCUCAAGCUCAGCUUGGUGUUGGGCCCCGCCGCCCCGGCGGGCCCUAAAGUCAGUGGCGGUGCCGUCCGGCUCCGAGCGUAGUAAUUCUUCUCGCUCUGGAGGUCCGGUCGUGUGCUCGCCAGCAACCCCCAAUUUUUUUCAGGUUGACCUCGGAUCAGGUAGGGAUACCCGCUGAACUUAAGCAUAUCAAUAAGCGGAGGA
RNAcentral lists this unclassified non-coding RNA (328 nucleotides) under soil metagenome. Its description in RNAcentral is "partial contains 5.8S ribosomal RNA, internal transcribed spacer 2, and large subunit ribosomal RNA". The stretch from base 1 to 119 matches the Rfam family "5.8S ribosomal RNA", at positions 35 to 154 of the family's 154-position model. The record is from RNAcentral.